This 62-nucleotide transfer RNA is filed under the name Cryptocephalus lividimanus. Its description in RNAcentral is "tRNA-Phe". The record is from RNAcentral. Lineage: Eukaryota; Metazoa; Arthropoda; Insecta; Coleoptera; Chrysomelidae.
ACUUAAAUAGCUUAUAUAGAGCAUAGUAUUGAAGAUACUAAGGAAAUUUUAAUUUUUGAGUA